RNAcentral lists this ribosomal RNA (943 nucleotides) under Microbacterium sp. EA_R_87. RNAcentral describes it as "bacterial SSU rRNA". It matches the Rfam family "Bacterial small subunit ribosomal RNA", at positions 37 to 991 of the family's 1533-position model. The record is from RNAcentral. Lineage: Bacteria; Bacillati; Actinomycetota; Actinomycetes; Micrococcales; Microbacteriaceae.
UGGCGGCGUGCUUAACACAUGCAAGUCGAACGGUGAAGCCAAGCUUGCUUGGUGGAUCAGUGGCGAACGGGUGAGUAACACGUGAGCAACCUGCCCUGGACUCUGGGAUAAGCGCUGGAAACGGCGUCUAAUACUGGAUAUGAGACGUGAUCGCAUGGUCGUGUUUGGAAAGAUUUUUCGGUCUGGGAUGGGCUCGCGGCCUAUCAGCUUGUUGGUGAGGUAAUGGCUCACCAAGGCGUCGACGGGUAGCCGGCCUGAGAGGGUGACCGGCCACACUGGGACUGAGACACGGCCCAGACUCCUACGGGAGGCAGCAGUGGGGAAUAUUGCACAAUGGGCGGAAGCCUGAUGCAGCAACGCCGCGUGAGGGAUGACGGCCUUCGGGUUGUAAACCUCUUUUAGCAGGGAAGAAGCGAAAGUGACGGUACCUGCAGAAAAAGCGCCGGCUAACUACGUGCCAGCAGCCGCGGUAAUACGUAGGGCGCAAGCGUUAUCCGGAAUUAUUGGGCGUAAAGAGCUCGUAGGCGGUUUGUCGCGUCUGCUGUGAAAUCCCGAGGCUCAACCUCGGGCCUGCAGUGGGUACGGGCAGACUAGAGUGCGGUAGGGGAGAUUGGAAUUCCUGGUGUAGCGGUGGAAUGCGCAGAUAUCAGGAGGAACACCGAUGGCGAAGGCAGAUCUCUGGGCCGUAACUGACGCUGAGGAGCGAAAGGGUGGGGAGCAAACAGGCUUAGAUACCCUGGUAGUCCACCCCGUAAACGUUGGGAACUAGUUGUGGGGACCAUUCCACGGUUUCCGUGACGCAGCUAACGCAUUAAGUUCCCCGCCUGGGGAGUACGGCCGCAAGGCUAAAACUCAAAGGAAUUGACGGGGACCCGCACAAGCGGCGGAGCAUGCGGAUUAAUUCGAUGCAACGCGAAGAACCUUACCAAGGCUUGACAUAUAC